This 31-nucleotide non-coding RNA is filed under the name Mus musculus (house mouse). Lineage: Eukaryota; Metazoa; Chordata; Mammalia; Rodentia; Muridae. The record is from RNAcentral.
UCCUGCCCAGGAAGGACUCUGGAUCCACACU